RNAcentral lists this ribosomal RNA (356 nucleotides) under uncultured bacterium. RNAcentral's name for it is "bacterial SSU rRNA". It matches the Rfam family "Bacterial small subunit ribosomal RNA", at positions 8 to 353 of the family's 1533-position model. The record is from RNAcentral.
AGAGUUUGAUCAUGGCUCAGGAUGAACGCUAGCUACAGGCUUAACACAUGCAAGUCGAGGGGAAACGACAUCGAAAGCUUGCUUUUGAUGGGCGUCGACCGGCGCACGGGUGAGUAACGCGUAUCCAACCUGCCCACCACUUGGGGAUAACCUUGCGAAAGUAAGACUAAUACCCAAUGAUAUCUCUAGAAGACAUCUGAAAGAGAUUAAAGAUUCAUCGCUGAUAGAUAGGCAUGCGUUCCAUUAGGCAGUUGGCGGGGUAACGGCCCACCAAACCGACGAUGGAUAGGGGUUCUGAGAGGAAGGUCCCCCACAUUGGUACUGAGACACGGACCAAACUCCUACGGGAGGCAGCA